CUAGAUUGAUGGCGAGUGGCGAACGGGUGAGUAAUACAUCGGAACGUGCCCUGUAGUGGGGGAUAACUAGUCGAAAGAUUAGCUAAUACCGCAUACGACCUGAGGGUGAAAGUGGGGGACCGCAAGGCCUCAUGCUAUAGGAGCGGCCGAUGUCUGAUUAGCUAGUUGGUGAGGUAAAGGCUCACCAAGGCGACGAUCAGUAGCUGGUCUGAGAGGACGAUCAGCCACACUGGGACUGAGACACGGCCCAGACUCCUACGGGAGGCAGCAGUGGGGAAUUUUGGACAAUGGGCGAAAGCCUGAUCCAGCAAUGCCGCGUGUGUGAAGAAGGCCUUCGGGUUGUAAAGCACUUUUGUCCGGAAAGAAAUCGCACUUACUAAUACUAGGUGUGGAUGACGGUACCGGAAGAAUAAGGACCGGCUAACUACGUGCCAGCAGCCGCGGUAAUACGUAGGGUCCAAGCGUUAAUCGGAAUUACUGGGCGUAAAGCGUGCGCAGGCGGUUGUGCAAGACCGAUGUGAAAUCCCCGAGCUUAACUUGGGAAUUGCAUUGGUGACUGCACGGCUAGAGUGUGUCAGAGGGGGGUAGAAUUCCACGUGUAGCAGUGAAAUGCGUAGAGAUGUGGAGGAAUACCGAUGGCGAAGGCAGCCCCCUGGGAUAACACUGACGCUCAUGCACGAAAGCGUGGGGAGCAAACAGGAUUAGAUACCCUGGUAGUCCACGCCCUAAACGAUGUCAACUAGUUGUUGGGGAUUCAUUUCCCUUAGUAACGUAGCUAACGCGUGAAGUUGACCGCCUGGGGAGUACGGUCGCAAGAUUAAAACUCAAAGGAUUUGACGGGGAC
Molecule: ribosomal RNA, 844 nt
Filed under: Ralstonia sp.
Lineage: Bacteria; Pseudomonadati; Pseudomonadota; Betaproteobacteria; Burkholderiales; Burkholderiaceae
Description: bacterial SSU rRNA
Rfam family: Bacterial small subunit ribosomal RNA
Source: RNAcentral